Carassius auratus (goldfish) is the source of this 622-nucleotide long non-coding RNA. RefSeq lists it as uncharacterized. The transcript is spliced from 3 exons. NCBI's taxonomy places the organism in Eukaryota, Metazoa, Chordata, Actinopteri, Cypriniformes, Cyprinidae. The record is from RefSeq and is a predicted model, not a curated record.
AGGAAAUGAAGAGCAUCAGAGGGUCAGGUGACGGUGAACUGCACGGUCAUGAUCUUGUAAAGACAGCUGAAGAAGCGUGUAGUGCUCCGUGUGAACACACACACACCAGAUCCUCCAUGAUAUCCUCCGGUGCGGUCCUUCACUGUGACCUGCUCAUUCUUCAGGACGAGUGUGUGUCCAGUCCGGGGCUCAAACAGCUGGACACUGGUCAUCCGGAUCAUCCCAGAUUCCAGCCCAAAAUACCCAUCCCAGAAGUGGACGGGACGGGACGGGAUCUCCCCAGUGAUUCCCUGUAAUCAGCACAUCCUCACUGAUGAACCCAUGCAGUCCAGCUGCUCUGUGUCUGGGAGGGUCAAAGGUCAGGUCAUCUCUGUUCAGUUCUCCACACACGGUUCGGCACGCGCUGAGACCGCUGUUCAACCUAAAUCUGACACAGCAUCUGGAAUAUUGUUUACUAUGAAUAACACGUGAAACAAACAGAGUUCAGCUAAUAUAUGUUUCUGCUGAUGGAAGCUUCUGGAUUCCCAGACAUUACCCUGGACAAAUCAAAUCGUUCUGUGGCUGUUAUUCUGUUGUUCUGCGGAGCUUCUCUCACGAAAACUAAUUCCUCGUAUGUGUGAAC